This 468-nucleotide ribosomal RNA is filed under the name uncultured bacterium. Its description in RNAcentral is "partial 16S ribosomal RNA". It matches the Rfam family "Bacterial small subunit ribosomal RNA", at positions 28 to 507 of the family's 1533-position model. The record is from RNAcentral.
GACGAACGCUGGCGGCGUGCUUAACACAUGCAAGUCGAACGGAAAGGCCCUGCUUUUGUGGGGUGCUCGAGUGGCGAACGGGUGAGUAACACGUGAGUAACCUGCCCUUGACUUUGGGAUAACUUCAGGAAACUGGGGCUAAUACCGGAUAGGAGCUCCUGCUGCAUGGUGGGGGUUGGAAAGUUUCGGCGGUUGGGGAUGGACUCGCGGCUUAUCAGCUUGCUGGUGGGGUAGUGGCUUACCAAGGCUUUGACGGGUAGCCGGCCUGAGAGGGUGACCGGCCACAUUGGGACUGAGAGACGGCCCAGACUCCAACGGGGGGCAGCAGUGGGGAAUAUUGCACAAUGGGCGGAAGCCUGAUGCAGCAACGCCGCGUGCGGGAUGACGGCCUUCGGGUUGUAAACCGCUUUCGCCUGUGACGAAGCGUGAGUGACGGUAAUGGGUAAAGAAGCACCGGCUAACUACGUG